Molecule: small RNA, 523 nt
Filed under: Pongo abelii (Sumatran orangutan)
Lineage: Eukaryota; Metazoa; Chordata; Mammalia; Primates; Hominidae
Description: processed transcript
Source: RNAcentral
GUUAGACGUGCCUUUGCUCCUCCUCUGCCUUGCACCAUGAUUGUGAGGCCUUCCUAGUCAUGUGGAACUACGCUGCAGGAGAUCUUCCAGGCCGAGAACACCAUCAUGCUGCUGGAAAGGUCCAUCAUGGCCAAGGAGGGCCCACUGAAGGUGGCCCAGACAAGGCUGGAGUGCCGGACCCGGCGCCCCAACAUGGAGCUGUGCAGGGACAUCCCUCAGUUCAAGCUGGUGAACGAGGUGUUCACCAUCGAUGACACGCUGCAGACCCUCAAGCUGCGGCUGCGGGAGACGCAGGACACGCUGCAGCUGCUGGUCAUGACCAAGUGCCGGCUGGAGCACGAGCUCGCCAUCAAGGCCAACACCCUCUGCAUCGACAAGGAGAAGUGCAUGGGCAUGCGUAAGACCUUCCCCUGCACCCCGCGCCUGGUGGGCCACACCUGAGCACCGCCCUGGCGCCUUGUUCCAUGCUGGCGUAAAAUUGGAAAAGGCUGAGAAACAAAGUAAAACAGUAUUUUGUUUGAAA